RNAcentral lists this ribosomal RNA (429 nucleotides) under Chloroflexota bacterium. Its description in RNAcentral is "Chloroflexi bacterium partial 16S ribosomal RNA". It matches the Rfam family "Bacterial small subunit ribosomal RNA", at positions 355 to 776 of the family's 1533-position model. The record is from RNAcentral. Lineage: Bacteria; Bacillati; Chloroflexota.
UGGGGAAUAUUGCACAAUGGGCGCAAGCCUGAUGCAGCCAUGCCGCGUGUGUGAAGAAGGCCUUCGGGUUGUAAAGCACUUUCAGCGGGGAGGAAGGCGUUAAGGUUAAUAACCUUGGCGAUUGACGUUACCCGCAGAAGAAGCACCGGCUAACUCCGUGCCAGCAGCCGCGGUAAUACGGAGGGUGCAAGCGUUAAUCGGAAUUACUGGGCGUAAAGCGCACGCAGGCGGUCUGUCAAGUCGGAUGUGAAAUCCCCGGGCUCAACCUGGGAACUGCAUUCGAAACUGGCAGGCUAGAGUCUUGUAGAGGGGGGUAGAAAUCCAGGUGUAGCGGUGAAAUGCGUAGAGGUCUGGAGGAAUACCGGUGGCGAAGGCGGCCCCCUGGACAAAGACUGACGAUCAGGUGCGAAAGCGUGGGGAGCAAACAGG